This 253-nucleotide ribosomal RNA is filed under the name uncultured bacterium. Its description in RNAcentral is "partial 16S ribosomal RNA". It matches the Rfam family "Bacterial small subunit ribosomal RNA", at positions 524 to 776 of the family's 1533-position model. The record is from RNAcentral.
UACGGAGGGUGCAAGCGUUGUUCGGAAUUACUGGGCGUAAAGCGCACGUAGGCGGGUUUGUAAGACGAUUGUGAAAUCCCCGAGCUUAACUUGGGAAUUGCAGUCGAAACUGCAGAUCUUGAAUGUUUGAGAGGAUGGCGGAAUUCCUGGAGUAGUAGUGAAAUACGUAGAUAUCAGGAAGAACACCAGAGGCGAAGGCGGCUAUCUGGCAAUACAUUGACGCUGAGGUGCGAAAGCGUGGGGAGCAAACAGG